RNAcentral lists this long non-coding RNA (2605 nucleotides) under Sorghum bicolor (sorghum). RNAcentral's name for it is "long non-coding RNA (SBIC_LNC004537)". Lineage: Eukaryota; Viridiplantae; Streptophyta; Magnoliopsida; Poales; Poaceae. The record is from RNAcentral.
AACGCAGCUCCGCCCAAUCCUACCAUGCUCAACCAGUUCUCACCGCACCACCACAACCCCUACUCCUCAAAGGACCAUCAUCCAAGACGAAGACCACUAUCAAGGUACCAAUCGGUACAAGGAUCCUUCCACCUAGACCCAAUGAGAGGGUCGUUGGAGGCAAGACCAACCGAAGCGGCGAGAUCUGCAGUAUUCGCUACACUACGGAGGAGGAAAGGCCUUACUUUGAAGGGAUUAGAGCAUCCAAAGUCCGUUUCAUCCCUCCAAAGGCAGCCCCGAAGCACUCUCUCAAUGCUUUUGAGACACCUCCCAAGUGUCGCAAGACUAUAAUGGAUAUUGAUGAGGAAGUUCGCAAGCUAGAUAGAGUUAUCAUAGACCUCUAGUCCUCGAUUAAUUCCCUCACUAGGCAGCUCUCUAACCACAACACCGUUAUAUUAGGCCUUAGGCAGGAUCUUGCCAGUGCCAACAAGAAGAUCAAGGAAUUAGAGCGCCGUUAAGUUAUCUAGAUUAGACCUUGAGGCAAUGCAUCUUAGUCAUUUAUCUUUAAAUUCGGUUUAGGUUUACUAUUAUCAUCAGUUUACUAUUAUUAUCAGUUUGCUAUCAGUUUGUUAUCAGUCUUUUGUACUAAAUGCCUCAAGAUCAAUAAAGAGUAUUACUAUUAUUAUUAUGUCUUGUGUGUCACUACUUUAUUUUUGUGCAAAAAGCAGGAAACAAGUAUGGGGGAGAUCCCUUAACAUGCCAAACACACUCCGACUACACCACUCCACGAUUCAGGUACACACUCUGCACACUUUACUUCAUACAUACAUUUAUUUUGGAUUAUGCAGAUUACUGUUUCCGACAUGAUAAAAUAAAAAGAUUAAAAUAUUUCUAAUCAUGAUUAAUCUCAAUCUGUGAUAUUUCCUGAAAACUUGCAAUUAUUAUAAAAUCAUUUUAAAACCCUGUGUUACUCAAGUCAAUAUGGAAUAUGUGAUGGUAGAGUAUGAGUUUCUUAUUCUUGAUAUCAUUGUUGCUUGGAGAAUUUAUUUCAAAAUAUUCAAAAUUCUAGCUACCAUCCUCAGUGUUUUACAUGCCUGAUAAAAAUAAAAAUAUUAAUGAUGAUUAUAAAGCUAUCUACUCUGUAUUGAGUUUGUUCAAAAUGAGUUAGACCCUUGCUGAGAGAUUUAUCAUGCUCCUAAGAUCAAGACAUUAUUUCAGAAAGAUUCACUCUUCCAAAGUAUUAUUGCAUUAGAGGCAUGGGCUAUGCAAAAAUAAAAAUAUUUCGAGGAAAUAAAAAGGAGCAAGUGCUCGACAACCUCGCAGAAAAAAUGGACAAGUGUCCGGUAGUAGAAUUAGGGGUACCUCAGUAUCCACUUAAAAAAAAGAAGAAAAGAGAAAAAAAUGAUAGCCCAUGGUCCCUCUAAUAAGCAAUAUGCCAGCAAGAGUUGACAAAGUUUUUAAUUUCCAAAGUCUUUGAUCUAAGAGUAUGACAUUCCCCUCCUCGGAUCCUGUUUUGAUCAGACAAUAAAUGCAAAGUAAGAAUGCUUGAGAAUUUUUGCAAAAAUAAAACAGCCUCAGUGAGAUAUAUAUAAAAGAUAAUGAGUGAUCUAAGAGAACCUAUGAGGAUAAAAAGGUAUGCUAACUUUCUUUCAAAAAUAUACAAAAGCUCCAAGUGGCAGGAUUGAGAAGAAAGGAUCUUUACUCUUAACCAUAAACAUCCCUGACUAUGGUACACAGUGGAAUUUUAACACCCUGCAAUUAUAUAAAGAGAAUGUUUUAAAUGUUUUACCCCAGAUAUUUUUCUUAACCAUCCUUUUCUCGAGGACGAGUAAAAGCCUAAGUAUGGGGGUAUUUGUUGACGGUUCUUAAGUAUCAAUUUUAAUUAUCAAAUAAACAAGAGAAAGGACCAAGAUGCAAACAACACCUAGAAUUAGGGUUUGAUCUAACAGAAUUCCACGAGUUUUGUUGUUUAUCUGUUUCUGCAGGGGGUUAUCAGGAAAUAAGGAAGAAAGGCCUACAUGUCGGGAUUACAUAGAGAUAUCAACGCACCGCGCAAUUUUACAUCAUCUAGAAGACCCCAGAAGCCACGAGACCGAAGCGGAGGCAAAACUGGGCCAGGCCUAGGGCGCCAGCCCUGGUAGCCUGGGCGGCCGCCCCCCUGCUGGAGCCAAAUCAGGACUCUUUCGUUCGGGAUAUUCCACCGAUCUAUUGGAUCAAGAAAAACAUAGUACCACCUCGGCUAUCGACCCAAAAAUGCAUAGAAGGGGAGGACUAUAUAAGCAAGGCCCCCUGGCCCCUGGGAAGACAUGAAGAAAUUAUCAUAGAGACUGAGGGGUGCCCUCGAAGGAAAACCUCUUCUCUAAUUAAUAUUUCUUUUUAGGCUUAGCAAUCAAUGUAAGGUAGAAAUAGAUCUUCUAGUUUCUACUAGAUUGAGAGAGAUAGAGUGGAGGUGUAGAGUGGAGGAAGCCCGGCCUGUCGGUGUCUACUCCAAGCUUGUACUUGCGGGAUCAAGUUCUCCUAACCCGAAGCUUGCUCCUAGGAUUCUUCAGUAAUUCGACUUCUAAAUUCUAGUAAGUUCUUGUUUUAUUGUUCUUAUGGUUUAUGAUUUUACUUUAAUCUCUUCGCG